CCUAAAUACACACCAUUAUAGCUCUCUCUCUCAACUAUCUUGCAAAUGAAACAAGCCUUGUUUAUCACGCCCCGCCCCAUGAUCCCAACCUGACACACUCUACAGCUAGCCAUGUGAUUGGACGCUGCCUCUGUCAAUCAUCGCCAUGUAAACACUUGGGCUCUUCGCCAGCUCUAUAAAACCAAUUAUAGAGCAGGGAGGUUGAACUGUUUCAAGCCCCCUCUCUUCUUCUUUUCUUGAAUGAUCAAAACAGGCAGAGAAUUUGUGCAGGGCAGUUUCAAGGCCGCUCCUGAGUCCUGAUUCACACAGACGGAUACACACCUGAUUAUUGCUCUAUCGGCUCAGAGACUGCAGGCCGAACUUCUUUUAAUCGCCGCAGAUGAGAGACACGGCUUACCGGUGUUCGUUUGUUUUGUUUGUUUGUUUAAUUAAAUUAUUUUUGCCUGUGUGCUGAACUGGGCUACGUGAUUGAGUUUUGUGUAUUUAAACAACAUGCAAUUCAGGAACUAGAAUUAAAAACUUAUUUUUUAAAAGAAUUUUCCAGCAGUGCGGUGGGUGAGUGAAUCUCUCCCAGGACCCUGUCCUGUUUUAAUUAGCUUUUUAUUUAUUCUACACAGGCACUUAAGCUAUUAAUUGCUCAAUUAUAGCUUUAUAACAGCUUUUUUUUUUUUUUUUUUUUGCAGAGUUUGUUUAGUUUGACGCCGAGUUUUACGCUCUUGUAAGAUCUUCAGACUCGCUACAUGAUAGCUAUAAUGCUAAAUUAGCAAGUUUUGAAAACAAAACAAUAAAAAAACAAAACAAAAACAUGGCGCCUGGCUCUGUGUGUGUGUGUGUGUGUGUCUUUCCAGUGUAAUAAGGUAAGCGAUGUUUGUGAUCUGUUUGAGGAUACAUUUGUACAGAAUUGACACUUUAAAAAAAAAAAGUAGAGGGAAGAGAUGCGUGUCGAUAAUUGGAUUGGUAUAUAUUAGAUUAUUAAAUUGUUGAUUUUAUUUAUUUAUUUUUUUCAAGAAAGUGGUGCGGUUUCAAACUGCCCUCUGUCGCGCGCCCAGUUGACUGUGAGGCGGUUUCAAGUCUUCCUUCUUUCUGUGGGUAGGUAGGGGUGUGUGUGUGUGUGUGUGUGUGUGUGUGUGUGUAAAGUGAAGGGAAAGAAAGCACCAUGCAACAUGUUGACGGUGGGGUGGGGGGGUUCUUUUCUGCUUUUUUCUCCUUCUCCCUGAGUUCGGGCGAAUAUAAUGUCUUUCAUGCAAAGAUCUGCGCUUUGGAUUGUCUGUAUUUUUUUUUCUGUUUUGUCUGUCUGUGUGUCUCCCCCUCGGAGGCGGAAUGUGAGCUCCUCACCGUGGGAAUGUAGCCGGUUAUUCCUGAAGGUUCCCGGCUGCCUGCCCUGGAUAAGUUAUUAAUGACCGACGAAACAGCAUGACUGAGAGACGCCUUUGUUCUGGGUGCUGAGGCGCUCGAGGGUUGUUGUUUUUUUGUUCUUGUUUUGGACGCGUUUUUUUUUUUUUUUUUUUUUAUUCGCUCCUGACAAUCCCUGACUGCUCUUGUUAAGGUGGGUGAUGAAAUGCAUUUCAUGCAAAUAAACAAACAUUUAACACCAUAUUCCUGUUUUUUGUUGUCUUUCUAUUCUGCACUGCAUCACAGCAUGCUCGGGAAUGGGCUCGCGCUUGGCUUUUAGCGUCCCUGAAGCAGCACGCGCAACAAAACACCACCACAACACUGACUCCAGGCUAUUAUUAUUAUUAUUAUUAUUAUUAUUUCUUUAACAGAAAUUAAUUCAUCACGAAUUACUGUCUAGCGGUUUAGUUUGGCACCCAUUCAUUUUCUCACAUUUUAAAUAUUUCCAAGGUGUGGUUUGAUGGAUUUUUUUUUUUUUUAAAUACUUAAUGGUGAGCAUAAAUAAACGUUUGUGUUGCUUUGUAUCUAAGCACUAGCGUUGGACUAAAAGCAUGAUUAGGAAAGGGCUAAAUAAAAUUUCUAUUCCCACCAGUAUUUCUAAAUCAGUCUACACAUGCUUUCAUUUUAAUAAAUAACACACUGCCAUAUUUAUCUUGCAGCUAUAGCCAAUAAUUGUGAUGUAGGCUACAUCUGCUUAAAUACUCAUGUCAUUGCACUAAUAGCCUAAUCAAUGCAUAGUCCUGCUACCACAGUGUACAUUAUUUUUAUGUAUUUUAGUUUUAUAAAGAUUUUAUUUUGACUUGC
Molecule: long non-coding RNA, 2196 nt
Organism: Neoarius graeffei (lesser salmon catfish)
Lineage: Eukaryota; Metazoa; Chordata; Actinopteri; Siluriformes; Ariidae
Exons: 2
Source: RefSeq, a predicted model, not a curated record